RNAcentral lists this long non-coding RNA (739 nucleotides) under Phasianus colchicus (ring-necked pheasant). RNAcentral's name for it is "lncRNA (ENSPCLG00000005226.1)". The record is from RNAcentral. Lineage: Eukaryota; Metazoa; Chordata; Aves; Galliformes; Phasianidae.
GGCAUUUAUUCCCAGGUUUGGUAGGCUGAAGUCUUCAGGGGAGACUGAUGAAAUCUAGGUCAUCUGACAGAGUCCAGCUGAGGUCAGUAAAUCAUUAUUACUUAAUAGCUAUCUAUUAGCUUAUAGGAAGUAAGCUGGUUGCCGUCAGGCUCCCACUGGGCAAAUGUUUACCCCACAAAACUGUUGGCCUAAUUGGUGCUGAUUGUCAGUGUCAGCAAAAGCUGCAUCUUUCUCUGUAUGUGUCAGGACUGGAGUAUGUGGGCAAAGAAAGAUCAAAUGUUCUGCACCUGACAGCAGAUGGCAAGUGGAGAGACCUCAGCACUCAGUCUGCGCACUAUCAGCUUUGCAAUAAGUACGUGCUCUGUGCUGCUCAUACUCUGCAGUGGAUCCCUCCCCAGCUUUGCAAUAACUUGAUGAUUAAUCUAGUGUACAGCUAAGGGCCACGGAGGACAAUUGCUCAAUAGCAGGUUGAAAAUAUGGAAAUGUUUCCAUAUCCAAAAAUGGCUGCUGUUGGAAAAUUCUCCUGUGAUAUUUUGAAUGCAGUCAAAGCAAAGCAGGGAUGAACUUGCCACCUCAUGUGAAAUUCUGUGAUUUUGACCUCUUUUCCAGUUUGAAACAGAACAGGUAUAUAAGUUGGCAAAAAUUAAAAACAAUUUGGAGAGCUCAACAUAUCGCUUUCCAAGUGAGCAAAUGUGUUCAAUUACCUCAAAGUUGAAAAACAAAACCUGCCUUUCAAACA